RNAcentral lists this ribosomal RNA (677 nucleotides) under Salmonella enterica subsp. enterica serovar Schwarzengrund. RNAcentral describes it as "partial 23S ribosomal RNA". It matches the Rfam family "Bacterial large subunit ribosomal RNA", at positions 2211 to 2882 of the family's 2925-position model. The record is from RNAcentral. Lineage: Bacteria; Pseudomonadati; Pseudomonadota; Gammaproteobacteria; Enterobacterales; Enterobacteriaceae.
UGUUUGAUGUUCUAACGUGGACCCGUGAUCCGGGUUGCGGACAGUGUCUGGUGGGUAGUUUGACUGGGGCGGUCUCCUCCUAAAGAGUAACGGAGGAGCACGAAGGUUGGCUAAUCCUGGUCGGACAUCAGGAGGUUAGUGCAAUGGCAUAAGCCAGCUUGACUGCGAGCGUGACGGCGCGAGCAGGUGCGAAAGCAGGUCAUAGUGAUCCGGUGGUUCUGAAUGGAAGGGCCAUCGCUCAACGGAUAAAAGGUACUCCGGGGAUAACAGGCUGAUACCGCCCAAGAGUUCAUAUCGACGGCGGUGUUUGGCACCUCGAUGUCGGCUCAUCACAUCCUGGGGCUGAAGUAGGUCCCAAGGGUAUGGCUGUUCGCCAUUUAAAGUGGUACGCGAGCUGGGUUUAGAACGUCGUGAGACAGUUCGGUCCCUAUCUGCCGUGGGCGCUGGAGAACUGAGGGGGGCUGCUCCUAGUACGAGAGGACCGGAGUGGACGCAUCACUGGUGUUCGGGUUGUCAUGCCAAUGGCACUGCCCGGUAGCUAAAUGCGGAAGAGAUAAGUGCUGAAAGCAUCUAAGCACGAAACUUGCCCCGAGAUGAGUUCUCCCUGAGACUUAGAGUCUCCUGAAGGAACGUUGAAGACGACGACGUUGAUAGGCCGGGUGUGUAAGCGCAGCGAU